CCUACGGGAGGCAGCAGUGGGGAAUAUUGCGCAAUGGGCGAAAGCCUGACGCAGCGACGCCGCGUGAGGGAUGAAGGUCUUCGGAUCGUAAACCUCUGUUAGCAGGGAAGAACGGUCACUGUGCUAAUCAGUAGUGAAUUGACGGUACCUGCAAAGGAAGCACCGGCUAACUCUGUGCCAGCAGCCGCGGUAAUACGGAGGGUGCGAGCGUUAAUCGGAAUUAUUGGGCGUAAAGCGAUCGUAGGCGGUAUGUCAAGUCAAGGGUGAAAUCCCCGCGCUCAACGGGGGAACUGCCUUUGAUACUGGCAAACUAGAGUGUGAUAGAGGAAAGUGGAAUUCCAGGUGUAGGGGUGAAAUGCGUAGAUAUCUGGAAGAACAUCAAUGGCGAAGGCAACUUACUGGCACAUAACUGACGCUGAGGAGCGAAAGCGUGGGUAGCAAACAGGAUUAGAUACCCCAGUAGUC
RNAcentral lists this ribosomal RNA (465 nucleotides) under uncultured bacterium. RNAcentral's name for it is "partial 16S ribosomal RNA". It matches the Rfam family "Bacterial small subunit ribosomal RNA", at positions 338 to 795 of the family's 1533-position model. The record is from RNAcentral.